Molecule: non-coding RNA, 253 nt
Organism: Xyrichtys novacula (pearly razorfish)
Lineage: Eukaryota; Metazoa; Chordata; Actinopteri; Labriformes; Labridae
Source: the annotation of a GenBank genome assembly
GUGGCGUCUGGUUAGGACGCCUUCUGGACGCCUCCUGUUAGAGGUGUUCCAGACAUGUCCCACCGGGAGGAGACCGCGUGGUCAGCCCAGGACCAGGUGGAGGGACUAGAUCUCUCUCCUGGUCUGGGAGCGCCUGGGAAUCCCCCUGGAGGAGGAGCUGGUGGAGGUGUCCGGGGUGAGGACCGUCUGGGCUCCCCUCCUGAAGCUGCUGACCCGCGACCCGGACCAGGAUGAAGCGGAAGAAAACGACGAC